UUGAGAUGUUUUCUGCUUCUCGCUGAAUUCCACUGAAGACAGCAGAACUAAUAGGAAUAAGGACCAGCAGAGCCAAUAUCAUUAGCCAGAUGAUGACAAAAGACACCACAAAACAGCCGUAGGAGAUGCUGUGCUGCUGAAGA
This 143-nucleotide long non-coding RNA is filed under the name Struthio camelus australis. RNAcentral's name for it is "lncRNA (ENSSCUG00000005054.1)". Lineage: Eukaryota; Metazoa; Chordata; Aves; Struthioniformes; Struthionidae. The record is from RNAcentral.